GUUUAUUUACCUGGACCCUUGCUCUUCCACCUGAAAGAAGUAGAUGCAGAAAGUUGUGCAGCCCGGCUGCGGUGCGGUGCAGGAGACGGCCGAUCGAGUCUGAACUGAAUAUGGUUGUUUCCGUCCAGACCCUCGUCCUCCUGCUCCUCCUACCAACCCAACCCAAUCCAGCCCCAGGUCCCAGCUCGUCGCGGCUCUGACUGAAUCCCCCCCCUUCACCACCGGACAGCUACCGCCGACGCCCCGAUCCCACCCCUCUCCCCCCUCCCCCUCCCCUGCCGCCGCCGCCUCUCCCUCCUCGCCGCGACGUCGGUUCGCGCCCCGGCCGUCUCCGCCCCGUCCGCGAUCUCAGGCCGAUUGGAGAUACGCUCGUCGAUUCAGCCAUCGUCCAGCGAGGAGGAGAGAUGCAGGCAUCUAGAGCUAGGCUCUUCAAGGAGUACAAGGAGGUGCAGCGAGAAAAGUCAGCCGACCCAGAUAUCCAAUUAAUCUGUGAUGAUUCAAAUAUAUUCAAAUGGACUGCUGUAAUCAAGGGCCCAUCGGAGACACCUUUUGAAGGUGGCGUAUUUCAACUUGCAUUCUCAAUUCCCGAGCAGUAUCCUCUACUGCCUCCGCAAGUCCGCUUCAUCACCAAAAUUUUCCACCCAAAUGUUCACUUCAAGACUGGUGAAAUAUGCCUGGAUAUAUUGAAGAAUGCAUGGAGCCCUGCGUGGACCCUACAAUCUGUUUGCAGAGCCAUUAUUGCGUUGAUGGCCCAUCCGGAAGCAGACAGCCCACUUAACUGCGACUCAGGCAAUCUUCUCCGCUCGGGCGACAUCAGAGGCUACCAGUCCAUGGCGCGGAUGUACACCAGGCUAGCUGCCAUGCCAAAGAAAGAGUGAUUUGCAGGGUUGCAAAGGUACACCAGAGCAGUGGCGCUGGUGCUGGCUGAUUGAUUCAUGCAUGUAUCAACUCUCUAAGUUGUCAGGUGUAACUCGUAUGAACUUGUGUGGCCUGAUUUUCUUACCCGACUUGUCGUUGUGGGUGUAAUGUUGAUUCUGUUGGGCUAAAAAGGAUUUAAGCGUAAACGCUUGAUUCAUGAUGAUGUGUAAUAAAUAAUCCUCACAGGGAUUUGGUACAGUGCAGUAUCCUCUGGUUGAUUACGUGCUGUCCUCCUGUACACUUUGAGUUGCCGAAGCCUCGAUGCCCCUACAUAUAUGCAUUGGUCCUUGCGGUUUAAGUAAACCCGUGUGCUUCCUCUCACUGUCCACUGAUAGUCUUAUCGACCGCUUAUGUCGUUUUGGACCAGAGGCCCAGUCAAAUUGGGCUAGAGGCCAGUCAAAUAUUG
This 1324-nucleotide ribosomal RNA is filed under the name Triticum aestivum (bread wheat). RNAcentral's name for it is "partial small subunit ribosomal RNA". The record is from RNAcentral. Lineage: Eukaryota; Viridiplantae; Streptophyta; Magnoliopsida; Poales; Poaceae.